AUAUAUAAAGUAAAAAUUACAUUUAGUUUCGACCUAAAAAUUGAUAAAAAUUAUCUAUAUAUU
Molecule: transfer RNA, 63 nt
Filed under: Megalodontes spiraeae
Lineage: Eukaryota; Metazoa; Arthropoda; Insecta; Hymenoptera; Megalodontesidae
Description: tRNA-Arg
Source: RNAcentral